This 253-nucleotide ribosomal RNA is filed under the name uncultured bacterium. RNAcentral's name for it is "partial 16S ribosomal RNA". It matches the Rfam family "Bacterial small subunit ribosomal RNA", at positions 524 to 776 of the family's 1533-position model. The record is from RNAcentral.
UACGGGGGGGGCAAGCGUUGUUCGGAAUUACUGGGCGUAAAGGGUUCGUAGGUGGCUCGCUAAGUCAGACGUGAAAUCCCUCAGCUUAACUGGGGAACUGCGUCUGAGACUGAUGAGCUUGAGUGCAGGAGAGGAACGCGGAAUUCCAGGUGUAGCGGUGAAAUGCGUAGAUAUCUGGAGGAACACCGGUGGCGAAGGCGGCGUUCUGGACUGCAACUGACACUGAGGAACGAAAGCCAGGGGAGCAAACGGG